This 497-nucleotide long non-coding RNA is filed under the name Chinchilla lanigera (long-tailed chinchilla). Its description in RNAcentral is "lncRNA (ENSCLAG00000025359.1)". The record is from RNAcentral. Lineage: Eukaryota; Metazoa; Chordata; Mammalia; Rodentia; Chinchillidae.
AGCCUGUCUGCCCAGAAAUAACUGAAGACAGCCUGAAAGCACGGUGGUGGGCAUGGUGGAACACACAGGAUAAGGAUCUGAGGCUUGUGGAGCAGGAUCCAGCUGGCACUCUGCUAUGUGCCUGGCAAGUGCUGUGCUGCUGAGCUACAUCCCCAGCCCCCUCACUGUGUUUUUUGAUUCUUCUUUGUAUAGACAAUCAAGUGUCACCAAAAACAAAAUAAAAACUGUAAAAUGUACUUCCAAUCCAGUUCUUAGAGAAAUAAAGAAAUAAGAAUUCUUUUCUCUUUUGAGGGAGAGUAGUUUUACAGUGGCACCAGCUCCUGGCUCCAUAAGGGCCAGGAAGGGAAAUAGGAUUGAGUACAACCCUUUAGUAGGUACUACUGGGGGGGUGUUACACAGAUUUUUCUAUUUAGCCCUUGUAAUGCUCAAUGAUAUUAGCAGUGUCACCAAGGGGAGGAGCAAGGCUGAGAAAGGCCCGGAUAUUUGCCCACAGUCAC